RNAcentral lists this ribosomal RNA (301 nucleotides) under uncultured bacterium. Its description in RNAcentral is "partial 16S ribosomal RNA". It matches the Rfam family "Bacterial small subunit ribosomal RNA", at positions 509 to 808 of the family's 1533-position model. The record is from RNAcentral.
CAGUCGCGCGGUAAUACAGAGGGUGCAAGCGUUAAUCGGAUUUACUGGGCGUAAAGGGCGCGUAGGUGGUUAUGUAAGUGAGAUGUGAAAUCCCCGGGCUCAACCUGGGAACUGCAUCUUAUACUGCGUAGCUGGAGUGCAGUAGAGGGUAGUGGAAUUUCCGGUGUAGCGGUGAAAUGCGUAGAUAUCGGAAGGAACACCAGUGGCGAAGGCGGCUACCUGGACUGACACUGACACUGAGGCGCGAAAGCGUGGGGAGCAAACAGGAUUAGAUACCCCCGUAGUCCCUGUCUCUUAUACA